This 484-nucleotide ribosomal RNA is filed under the name uncultured bacterium. RNAcentral's name for it is "partial 16S ribosomal RNA". It matches the Rfam family "Bacterial small subunit ribosomal RNA", at positions 30 to 507 of the family's 1533-position model. The record is from RNAcentral.
AUUGAACGCUGGCGGCAGGCCUAACACAUGCAAGUCGAGCGGAUGAAGGGAGCUUGCUCCUGGAUUCAGCGGCGGACGGGUGAGUAAUGCCUAGGAAUCUGCCUGGUAGUGGGGGAUAACGUCCGGAAACGGGCGCUAAUACCGCAUACGUCCUGAGGGAGAAAGUGGGGGAUCUUCGGACCUCACGCUAUCAGCUGAGACUAGGUCGGAUUAGCUAGUUGGUGGGGUAAAGGCCUACCAAGGCGACGAUCCGUAACUGGUCUGAGAGGAUGAUCAGUCACACUGGAACUGAGACACGGUCCAGACUCCUACGGGAGGCAGCAGUGGGGAAUAUUGGACAAUGGGCGAAAGCCUGAUCCAGCCAUGCCGCGUGUGUGAAGAAGGUCUUCGGAUUGUAAAGCACUUUAAGUUGGGAGGAAGGGCAGUAAGUUAAUACCUUGCUGUUUUGACGUUACCAACAGAAUAAGCACCGGCUAACUUCGUG